This 524-nucleotide ribosomal RNA is filed under the name uncultured bacterium. RNAcentral's name for it is "bacterial SSU rRNA". It matches the Rfam family "Bacterial small subunit ribosomal RNA", at positions 10 to 518 of the family's 1533-position model. The record is from RNAcentral.
AGUUUGAUCCUGGCUCAGAUUGAACGCUGGCGGCGUGCUUAACACAUGCAAGUCGCGCGUGAAAGGACUUCGGUCCGAGUAAAGCGGCGCACGGGUGAGUAACGCGUGGAUGAUCUACCCAUGAGUUAGGAAUAACGGCUGGAAACGGUCGCUAAUACCAAAUACGCUCCGAUUUCAACUUCGGGGGAAAGGUGGCCUCUGCUUGCAAGCUACUGCUCAUGGAUGAGUCCGCGUCCCAUUAGCUAGUUGGUGGGGUAACGGCCCACCAAGGCGACGAUGGGUAGCCGGUCUGAGAGGAUGACCGGCCACACUGGGACUGGAACACGGCCCAGACUCCUACGGGAGGCAGCAGUGGGGAAUAUUGCGCAAUGGGCGAAAGCCUGACGCAGCGACGCCGCGUGAGGGAAUGAAGGUCCUCGGAUCGUAAACCUCUGUCAGGAGGGAAGAACCGCCACGGUGCUAAUCAGCCGUGGUCUGACGGUACCUCCAAAGGAAGCACCGGCUAACUCCGUGCCAGCCGCCGC